AUAAUCUCCAUAAAUUGACCUCGGAUCAGGUAGGGAUACCC
RNAcentral lists this ribosomal RNA (41 nucleotides) under Cladonia verticillata. RNAcentral describes it as "partial 28S ribosomal RNA". Lineage: Eukaryota; Fungi; Ascomycota; Lecanoromycetes; Lecanorales; Cladoniaceae. The record is from RNAcentral.